Molecule: RNA transcript, 1461 nt
Organism: Peromyscus leucopus (white-footed mouse)
Lineage: Eukaryota; Metazoa; Chordata; Mammalia; Rodentia; Cricetidae
Gene: Serp2
Gene name: stress associated endoplasmic reticulum protein family member 2
Exons: 5
Source: RefSeq, a predicted model, not a curated record
GCGUGGGGUAGGGUGCGAGAUUCAAGCCCGGUCAACGCUUUGGCUAUGGGCAGUGACCCCCAAAUCUUCCUGGGCUGUAGGCUCACUACUGCUUUAUCCUCUAUGAGCCACUCAGCUGCUUCGUUCUUCCAGUGUAAUACCCACUACUACCAAGGUGAGAAGGUCUGGUCCAACUCCAUCCUCGAGAACCCCGUCCACAUUUGUCAGGGACUGGAAAGAGGCUUCCUGGCUCCUCAUCUUAUGUCACAAAGGGUCUCUUCGCACAGCCCUGUAGAAGAAGGUCCCAUUGUGGGGCUCCCUCAGACACCUAAAGGGCAGGUUCCUUUGGACCGUCCCUCAACAGUACUAUCCAAACCUGUUCGGGUUCAGCUUGUCUUUUGAGGUACCUAUAUGGUCUAGACUUCAGCCUGAAGGCACCAGUGCCCUAAUCCCUGCCUGGCCUGAGGAGGUCAGGUAACACAGUCGGGGGUCACUAAGGCCGGGUACAGCUGCGUCCCCCACCCCCCACGCACGCACAAACGCGGGGUCACCCGAACCCUGUGCCCCGCAGCGUUCGAUCUCAGGACCGAAGACACCCUGGGCUAGGGUGCCCUCCACUCAGCGCGCUGCGCUGUAGCAGCCGCCGCCUCUCGCUUCCCGCCUCGGUGGCCGCGCAGGGUGGGAGUCGAGAGCAUCUCCAAGCACCCAAGCCAUGGUGGCCAAACAGCGGAUCCGGAUGGCUAACGAGAAGCACAGCAAAAACAUCACCCAGAGGGGAAACGUAGCCAAAACCCUGAGGCCACAAGAAGAGAAAUAUCCUGUUGGGCCAUGGCUGCUGGCACUGUUUGUUUUCGUUGUCUGUGGCUCAGGUUGACCACAUAAAUACUGGCUUUUCCUGGAGACUGGCAGAACAUUCUGGAAACUGCCCCCAGAGGGAGUCACCCCAGAAAGCAUCCUGAGGUGCGUGAGAACCGGACACCCCCAGAGGAUCAAGAUGGACAGUCUGGAGGAGACAUCUCCGCAGCCAUCAGCUCUUCCAAGCUAUCUUCCAGAUCAUACAGAGCAUACGGAUGGGCAUGUGAGAAGGCCAGGGCGUUGGCUGCUGCUGCCCUGCUGCUGGCGGGUGGAGGGCCACGGAGAUCUUCAGCAGGUCUACAGCAAGCGAACGAGCCGCGGGCAAUAGAAAGGAGGUCCCCUGUUAUUCCCUCCCACUCCAUGGUGGAGGUUUGACCAAAUUGCCUUCUCACAGGACAUCUCCCUGCAUCUGUGUCCUCCAGUGGAAAGGACUCUGCUCUUGCCGGCCCGACUGGAAGCCACGUGGGGGGAGGGGGAGGUCGGUUGUAGUGCUCCCUGUCCGGUUCCCCGGGUUUCACUGUGGUGUGCAUGUGGCCCUCUGAGCGACUGCCCAUUUACAUCCUGCCAAUACGGUCUCUUCUGUGUCAGGAAUUGGUUUUACAAAUAAAUGUCUUCAUUCAACCUUAA